GAUGAAGAACGUAGCGAAAUGCGAUAAGUAAUGUGAAUUGCAGAAUUCAGUGAAUCAUCGAAUCUUUGAACGCACCUUGCACCCUUUGGCAUUCUGAAGGGUAUGCUCGUUUGAGUGUCAUUGUACUCUCACACUCCCGAUCUUUGCAUUGGGAGCAGUGGACUUGGGUUUGCUGCUUCACCGUCGCUUACCUCAAAUAGGUUAGUGCAACUCUUGGUUGGACAUAGUACGGCGUGAUAAGUGUUCUUCGCCGGUGCCUCGCAAAGAGGGUGGCCGAUCGGGAUGUUGUGCUCCAAACCGUCUUCGGAAAAUCUCUGACGACUUGACCUCAAAUCGAGUAAGACUACCCGCUGAACUUAAGCAUAUCAAUAAGCGGAGGA
This 380-nucleotide unclassified non-coding RNA is filed under the name soil metagenome. Its description in RNAcentral is "partial contains 5.8S ribosomal RNA, internal transcribed spacer 2, and large subunit ribosomal RNA". The stretch from base 1 to 120 matches the Rfam family "5.8S ribosomal RNA", at positions 35 to 154 of the family's 154-position model. The record is from RNAcentral.